UACCUGUAACACAAUAAUAAUAAUAAUGCUUAAACUGUCGAUAGAUGGCAGUGCAGAAAUCUGUGUGCAGAACAGGAAAGUUAGAUGGCGUUGCUGUGCCCUCAUUCUGAGUGAUUGCAAGUAACGAGUGAAAUUUGUGUCAGCAAUUUUUCGUAAUUCUGGUGUGUUUCUAAGGAUUUUUAACUCAGUUAUAACGGUAUGUGAGACUCUGAAUUAGAGUAAUGAACUACUGCUGUUUGUCUCUUUCCUAUCAUGCCAUUUCUCACUGACAAAGUUUACCUCUCUCCAGCCAAACAUUGCACCAAAUGGCAUACUCUUUUCUUGAGUUGCUAAUGAAUUCAAGUCCACAAGAAAUGGCUCCGCAACAGCAAGAUUAACAAUACCAUCAUCAGACUCGACUGUAAUCUUCAUCUACUUUGGAUUGUCAACCAUCUACUACCAGUUUCUUGCAGAUCCAGCAUUGGAAGUUUCUACACUUGGCCAAUCAUCAACAACCAUGAAUCCAGUCUUCACAGCUUCCCUUCUUUGCCAGCCAAGAACCAGAAUCAGUUAGCUUCAGCAUCCUAGCAUGAAAUCGUCAUUUUCAAAUGCCAUCUCAACUGUUUGCAGCCUUUAUCACUCUUCUUAGCCUGACAACAUGCAUACUGUUAUGCCAGCCUUUUUAAAUACUCUUCAUGCCAUCACCUCAUUAUGAAUUGUCAAGUUUUCAUUUGCAUUUAUGUUCAAAAACGCUGUCAAGUAGUUAUCAUGCCGCCGUAUGAGAUUAAAAACAUAAUGCCCACAGCCGAGUGAAAGAGGGCAUCUCAAAAUCUUUGCGGCUCCAAAACAGCUGACGGGGAUGGCAUUCGGCGCAACGUGGAACUUCUCGUCUAUUUUGGUAUUGUUUGUGUGUGUGUGUUUGUGUUUGUGAGUUAACCCGUU
Daphnia magna is the source of this 921-nucleotide long non-coding RNA. RefSeq lists it as uncharacterized. The transcript is spliced from 6 exons. The record is from RefSeq and is a predicted model, not a curated record. Lineage: Eukaryota; Metazoa; Arthropoda; Branchiopoda; Diplostraca; Daphniidae.